Molecule: long non-coding RNA, 3647 nt
Organism: Mauremys reevesii (Reeves's turtle)
Lineage: Eukaryota; Metazoa; Chordata; Testudines; Geoemydidae
Exons: 3
Source: RefSeq, a predicted model, not a curated record
AAAGAGACUGAAGGGCUAUUGGGAAGUGAGCCUUCGACAGCAGACUGGCAAGAAGCUGUCCAGAGUGGGAGAACCAGGAGAUGUCGGUGUCAGAAGGGAUAUAACAGCACUCCCUUGGAAGGCUGAGGCUGCAACUUUCAAAAAAGCUGCUAGAAUCAAAGGAAUGAACAACAAAGAGAUCAAAUAUUGGAUUUUUCAAGGCCCCUUUUUGGAAGUACACGUCCGGAGACUGACAUCCCCGGUUGGAGACCACAAAUAGGGACUGUUUUGAUCCAUCACCCAAUUAGGAUGAGACUUGUAUCCAUCUCUGGAUUGAUAGAACAGUAACAUCAUUAACAUGAGAUCGAGAUGAAUACAAGGAAUGAGCAAAAUGGAUUGAAUUCUAAAUAGAUUCGUAGGGAAACUGACUAGUCUUGAGUAAAUGAUCUUUGUUUGAGGGCACAGGGACAGAAUCUACCCCCAAACAAUCAGCACGUGGAUGCAGGACAAUGAUGCAGCCACUGCUGCAACCUCUAGACCACAACACAGGACUUGUGGCCCCUAGGAUUUGCAUAACUGCAGAUCAAGGAUCGACCGCGUUUGCUACUUCACCGCUCCCUUGGCCCCCUUCUGCCAUCAUUCUCACCCCAAGCUAGCAUGGAGCCCAGCUGUGCAGUGCACUGGAGGUGUGAAUUCCCAUGUGUUCUAGUUUUGCAGCUGAUAGCUUCUGCACAGCAGAACUGCUUUGAUUCAACUACACUGACGUCCUUCCAUGAUAUUUCUGCACGAGUCAGUUUGUGUAUAGUCAAAACCCAGUCACCCCGUGAAUAAUCAAAGUAGGAUGCCUCUCAAAGCAUGGGGCUCAUUGAUGUAUUGAAUAUUCAUAGGAAACACUGAAAAAAAGCUUCUUUCCUGCUUUCAAGAGUCUUAUUACUGGAGUUUGAAUUGCACAUGUGCAUGACACAAAGGUAUUCAAAGUAUAGACAGGACAAGAAUCACAGGGCAUAUAGCUCCUCUAAUGUCAUUGCAAGCAUUUCUAACAUUAUAUCUGUUAGAGAAAUCUCUCCCACAAGUGGAGAUAAUCUUUUAUUGCAAAGAUACUAAAUCUUCUUACAGCUAUGAACUGGAUUUUAGAAGGGCUGAAAAUUCCAUUUAUCACAAUCCUAGUUCACUGGAGCCUUCUCCUUAUAUUAAAGGUGAAAGCUGAGGUAGUCAAUCAGGCAUUAAAGAAGAACAUUUUGAAGGCCUUGUCAAUAAGUAUUCUGGAAAUGAUCUUGCAUUUAGAUUAUUCAACAGGUUGGUUAAACUCAUUAUUUGCUGCCCAGAAAUCUUCAGGUGAUUAUUGACCUGUGCUUAAAGUUAAAACCUUAAGUACAUUUGCAAAAACAAUCUUUCAGGGUGGACAGCUUAAAUGAUUUAAAGGUUAGCGUGUUUCAAGGGGACUUUUUAGCAAAGAUGGAUCUUUUAAAUACCAUGUUGCAAAUUUUCAAUGCAUUUAAACUGCAGCUUUUCAGGAGUAGCUUCUAAAACUGACAUUACCCCAAUGUAUGUCACUUGAGGCUGAUGUCUGCAGCAAUAGUGACGCAUGUAGAUUGCAUAUAUCUCCUUUCUUCCUCUCCAUCCCAAUUUCUUUCCUUCUUUCCUUUUCUUUUCUUUUUCUUUUCUUUUCUUUUCUUUUAAAAAAGUUGGCCAGAGUGGGAAUUCUCUCUCACCAUAAUUCUUUGUCAGUCUUGUUUCAAUUUUUCACACAUGUAUUAGUGACUUCUCAGCUGGACUGAAAGCACUUGUUAUGAAGAUAUUCAACCAUUCUCAUUAGCAAAUUCUCAAUGACAUGAGCAUACCCUUUACAAAAUUUACAUACAUAGUGGACUUUUUCUCAUGAAAUUCUAGAGGCGCUUUCUUCUCCCACAAGUAAACACGUGUCUUAAUCACUUCUUUUGUUUCUCUUGAGUUGAUCAGAUGAGGGAAUAUAAUCAGGUGUUUGAAACUACAGCCUUAGUUAAAACCAAACAUAAAGGUAUGGGAUAUAGACAUCAUCCUAGAUUAGCUUUCAAAAACUGACAACUAGACAGGCUAGAUUAGCUGUGCUCAUCUCUGCAUGGCAGCUUAGGUUGCCAGGGAGUCAGACCUCAUGCCAAGAAGGAUUGAGAAGACAAGACCCCAUUACCUAAAAAGGAGAAGUAAAACUCCAACAGAAGAACCUGAGAUGUUUUGUUAGCCCCUCGUAAUGCGGGAAUGCGAAUGUACAUCAUCCUGCUAGCAAAUUAGGAGUGUGCGAAGUCUUGCUCAGGAGGACCCAAGCAAGGUUCAGAACUUCAUCUGUAAACAACCAAAAGUUUGGAUGUUGAUAGGAUUGAAGUGAAUGAGUGGGGAAAAUGGAAUCAAUUCUUAAAAGUUCCUUUGGGAAUUGUCUCAGCCACAAGGCCCAUUAGUGAAUAUUUCUGGACCACUUACCCAACAGCAAAAGGAACUGACCUUUAGCAAUUCCAGCUGAGUGAAAUUCACCUCCUUAAACAGUGAAAGUCCAGUUUCUUCUUGCUAAACCUUGCUCCUCAGAAUGUCUCCAUGGUGCUUCUCACACAAGAGGCACCAGCCAUGACUCUCAAACAUGUCCUGAACUCUCCCCCUCUCUGCAACCCACCUUUGAAGCAGGUCCCUUCGGGGUUUAGAUGUGCAUCUAAGUGUACAUUGUGCAGUUCAAAAACUCCAGGGUGUAGGAGAUACACUUGUGUAGUGAUUCACAUGAUUGGGUUUGGAGCCUGGUGUUUGCAGAAUAUUUUCCACCAUUCUACCCUAGCUUUAUGCAAGUGCACAGGCAUAAAACUUGUGUAAGGCAAUGGAGAAUAAAGCCCCUUCUGUAAGAUUAUGCAAGCUUCUAAAAUAGCACCAUUCUCAUCCUAGCUACACUUUUGAAAUGCUGGUAUCUUGCUGUGCUUUCUGCAAUAGAACCGGCUGCUGGAUUUAACCAUUAGUUUUUAUUUUUAGCUUGAAACACAACUAUAAUAUCUGAGGUUUAUGGGUUGCUUCAAUUUUUUUUUUUUAUAAAAUGUUCUGUAUAAAUCGUAUUUCCUCUUUCACAUUAUUAAGUUUCUUGUCAAUUUUAUUUAAAGCACACAGACAAAGAUGGAUCUCUCCUCUCCAGAUCUGCAAAGUUAGAUUUAUUUCUUUGGCAUGCUUCAGGUUGACUGAAAGCUAAUCUGUCCCCUUUUUAUGGGCUUUUAGUAAAGCAUGUAUUUCUUUGUUUCCCCUUUGUUCAUUCUGCACUGUCUCUUGGAAAUAUGUACGUUCACUUUGAACUGUAAAAAUAUAAAUAUAAAUAUAUUUGCCCCAAGGGAGAGAAAUAAAUGAUAACUCUUAAUCCAAUCUAAGGGAAGUUUUAUAUCUUUAGUUUUUCAGAUUGCACACAUGCAGUGAUUCGAAUAAAACGAACUGUGUGCAAUAAUGAAGACUCUACGGUCAUCCAGGGCCUUGCUGGGAAGAACGCUAAUGGCUGAAAACUUUUUUGGCCCUACAUCAAUGACAACUAAUUAAAUCUGCCCUUCUUUAGAGCUAAUUUUCUACCCUAAAAUGCCCCUGUAGGGCUUCCAUUGUGAUUAACCCCAUCUCUUCAAAUGCAGAACUUGGCUCUUGGCAUGUCGCUCCAAAGAUUGACACUUUAAUUAGCAAUG